AAGACUAACUUCUGCGAAAGCAUUUGCCAAGGAUGUUUUCAUUAAUCAAGAACGAAAGUCAGGGGAUCGAAGACGAUUAGAUACCGUCGUAGUCUUGACCAUAAACUAUGCCGACUAGGGAUCGGACGGUGUUUUUUAGACCCGUUCGGAACCUUAUGAGAAAUCAAAGUCUUUGGGUACCGGGGGGAGUAUGGUCGCAAGGCUGAAACUUAAAGGAAUUGACGGAAGGGCACCACCAGGAGUGGAGCCUGCGGCUUAAUUUGACUCAACACGGGGAAAC
This 280-nucleotide ribosomal RNA is filed under the name uncultured fungus. RNAcentral describes it as "partial 18S ribosomal RNA". It matches the Rfam family "Eukaryotic small subunit ribosomal RNA", at positions 932 to 1214 of the family's 1831-position model. Lineage: Eukaryota; Fungi. The record is from RNAcentral.